GGAGGGUAAGAGAGAGAGAGAUGGAGGGAGGGGAAGAGAGAGAUGGAUGGAGGGAGGGUAAGAGAGAGAGAGAUGGAGGGAGGGUAAGAGAGAGAUGGAUGGAGGGAGGGUAAGAGAGAGAGAGAUGGAGGGAGGGUAAGAGAGAGAGAGAGUGGAGGUGAAGUACAGAUAGAGAGAGAGAGACAGAGGGGUAGAACAGAACAGAAAGGUUCCCCCAGCCCAAUAGGUUGUUGGAGGAGAGAGAGAGAGAGAGACAGAGGGGGUAGAACAGAACAGAAAGGUUCCCCCAGCCCAAUAGGUUGUUGGAAGAGAGAGAGAGAGAGAGAGACACGGAGGGGUAGAACAGAAC
This is a long non-coding RNA of Oncorhynchus tshawytscha (Chinook salmon), 349 nucleotides long. NCBI's taxonomy places the organism in Eukaryota, Metazoa, Chordata, Actinopteri, Salmoniformes, Salmonidae. The record is from Ensembl.